AGUGAGUGGAGGAUCACCCUCAUAGAAACAAGGGGAGGGAGGAUGUGAUAGGGGGUUUCUGGGAGUGAGGGAAACUGGGGGAAAAGGGAUAACAUUUGAAAUGUAAAUAAAGAAAAUAGCCAAUUUAAAAGAGAGAGGGCGGGGUCAGACUCUCUUGUCAUCUUGAACUCCAGAACAUGGAGACUAGGAGGUACUUACAGUAUAAUAAGGAGAUAAAAAGAGCAGUAUCACUGAGCACAAGCUGGUGGAAGCCACAGAAAGCAGAAGGCACUACACAUUUGUACAUAUUAUGCAUGUCUACAAACAUAAUUCAUUCAUUUAUUUAUUGCAUUAUGUGUGGACUUUGAUUCAGAGGCAUUGUUCUAUUUCAAUGUUAAUAAAAUUUAAAAACAAAUUGGAUUUUCACCUCUUUGAAUCUUCGAUUUAGUAAACUACUCGUAAUUUCUUAUAUUUUUAUUUUCUUCUUUGUCAGACUUACUUCAACUACGUAUUUAUUCAGUGUCACUAUGAACUAUAGUCUGAGAUGAAAAUGUUUUUCUUUGUAAAGAUACAGAUUCAUAAAUUUAUAUAUACACUCAUCAAAUACUUGAAAACAAGACUUAUGUGUGCCUUCCUCACUUUCAUCUACUUGAAAGAACUGAGCACUAAUCCAACCUGCAAGACGAGUACAGGGAGUACAGGGAGUGCUAGUGUGCGCCUUAGUGCUCCGGCCCUACAUGGCGCUGCAUUAACCUUCUUCUGUCACCUCCUAGCUUUAUACAGUUUUCUUUUGAUGUAAGGCAUGAAUAAAAAUGAAUGACUUUAAGGUGAGAUGACACGUUUCUGCUUUUGGUAAAUGCUUUCUUUAUUGUUCUCAUCUCUAAAGACAGUACUGAUGGGCUGUUCUUGCACAGUCGUGGGUUCAGGUUCUAACACUUUACGUGUCAAGGUAAACUUUAGCUACUAAACAACUUGGUACAUUUUCCCACUGGUGUUUCAAGAUGCUGCUUCUAGGAAAAACUUAUUUCACAUUAAAAUAAACACCUACCUCAUAUGGGAUGAAGGACAGAAUUAAAAUACAUUAAAUUGCAACCCUCAAUAAGAAAUCUCUGUUUCAGGUAGGGCCUUCCUUGAACCCCUUGAAUUAUUAAUGCUCUGGCCAUUCUGGUGGAAAGUUUGCCACAGGAAGAAGAAGCAUAAUGUUGACUCAUUCUGCUGAGUUUUUAUUGCUUUGGACCAAGAUUGAGUUCUUAACCUUACACUUACCAGAACCACCUAGAGGACUUUUUAAAACAAACCUCAACAAGAAUUUAGAAUAAUGCAUAUAACACACAACACAAUGUAAGCACGUAAUAGUGGCGGCUAAUGUUGAGAAUUACUCACUAUGGUAUUAUGGACACCAUGCAACACUUGGUUUUAUUAUUUAUUGCGAGUGUGCACACGUUAAUACAUGCAUGGGACAAUGUGUACACAAGAGUGCAUGUGCAUCCAGGCAGAGACCUGAACUGACGUUGGGUGUUUUCUAAAUGGCUCUCUAGUUUAUUUUCUGACACUGGGUCUCUCAGAGAACCUGGACUUCAUUAAAGUCUAGCUAGUCAACAGGCUUUGGUAAUACCAUGUCUGCCUCUGGAGUGCUGAGACUGCAGGCAACCAACACAUUAGCCCAACUUUCAUGGGAGGUCUAGGGACCUGAAGUCUGCCUCACUUUGCAGUAUGUGUCCAAUUUGGAAAAAAAAAAAAAAAAAAAAAAAAAAAAAAGAGAAUCUCUCAUAGAUAUCUGUCUUGUUCAUUUCUCUAUUGCCUCAAACCAGCUUUAAGUCUACCACAUACAAGAAGUUUACUUAAAAGGUCUAAAUGUCUAUCACUAUAACUAUACUCUCAUAUCAAGCUUAAAUGUGUCACUGAAUUUUUGAACAUAGCAGGUAUGUCAAUAUUCAUAUUCUUUUAUAUGUGAAUAAGGUUUAAGCACAUUCUAUGUUGAAUCUGGACCUAAGAGUUUUAUGCUAGUAUUUCUUCCUUGUAAUUACACAAUCUACAUAAGUAAGGGAACAUCACCUCUAUUGAUAAUCUUUUCUUAUUGUCAGGUUUCUAAUAAGAAACAAUCCCAAUGAAUAUGCUGUUGUACCAUGCUGCAUUUCUACAUU
This 2123-nucleotide long non-coding RNA is filed under the name Mus musculus (house mouse). Its description in RNAcentral is "long non-coding RNA chr3:139017906-139020029". Lineage: Eukaryota; Metazoa; Chordata; Mammalia; Rodentia; Muridae. The record is from RNAcentral.